Molecule: small nuclear RNA, 164 nt
Filed under: Salmo salar (Atlantic salmon)
Lineage: Eukaryota; Metazoa; Chordata; Actinopteri; Salmoniformes; Salmonidae
Description: U1 spliceosomal RNA (ENSSSAG00000097740.1, ENSSSAG00000100946.1)
Rfam family: U1 spliceosomal RNA
About the family: U1 is a small nuclear RNA (snRNA) component of the spliceosome (involved in pre-mRNA splicing). Its 5' end forms complementary base pairs with the 5' splice junction, thus defining the 5' donor site of an intron.
Source: RNAcentral
AUACUUACCUGGCAAGGGAGACACCGUGAUCAAGAAGGCGGUUCACCCAGGGCGAGGCUCAGCCAUUGCACUCCGGCUGUGCUGACCCCUGCGAAUUUCCCAAAUGUGGAAAUCUCGAUUGCAUAAUUUCUGGUAGUGGGGGACUGUGUUCGCGCUCUCCCCUG